RNAcentral lists this ribosomal RNA (1141 nucleotides) under Acinetobacter baumannii. RNAcentral's name for it is "partial 23S ribosomal RNA". It matches the Rfam family "Bacterial large subunit ribosomal RNA", at positions 1 to 1138 of the family's 2925-position model. RNAcentral also lists the same sequence under 1 other name. The record is from RNAcentral. Lineage: Bacteria; Pseudomonadati; Pseudomonadota; Gammaproteobacteria; Moraxellales; Moraxellaceae.
GAUUAAGUUAUUAAGGGCGCACGGUGGAUGCCUUGGCACUAGAAGCCGAUGAAGGACGUUACUAACGACGAUAUGCUUUGGGGAGCUGUAAGUAAGCUUUGAUCCAGAGAUUUCCGAAUGGGGAAACCCAGCAUGAGUUAUGUCAUGUUAUCGAUAUGUGAAUACAUAGCAUAUCAGAAGGCACACCCGGAGAACUGAAACAUCUUAGUACCCGGAGGAAGAGAAAGAAAAUUCGAUUCCCUUAGUAGCGGCGAGCGAAACGGGAAGAGCCCAAACCAACAAGCUUGCUUGUUGGGGUUGUAGGACACUCUAUACGGAGUUACAAAGGACGACAUUAGACGAAUCAUCUGGAAAGAUGAAUCAAAGAAGGUAAUAAUCCUGUAGUCGAAAAUGUUGUCUCUCUUGAGUGGAUCCUGAGUACGACGGAGCACGUGAAAUUCCGUCGGAAUCUGGGAGGACCAUCUCCUAAGGCUAAAUACUCUCUAGUGACCGAUAGUGAACCAGUACCGUGAGGGAAAGGUGAAAAGCACCCCGGAAGGGGAGUGAAAUAGAACCUGAAACCGUGUGCUUACAAGUAGUCAGAGCCCGUUAAUGGGUGAUGGCGUGCCUUUUGUAGAAUGAACCGGCGAGUUACGAUUUGAUGCAAGGUUAAGCAGUAAAUGUGGAGCCGUAGCGAAAGCGAGUCUGAAUAGGGCGUUUAGUAUUUGGUCGUAGACCCGAAACCAGGUGAUCUACCCUUGGUCAGGUUGAAGUUCAGGUAACACUGAAUGGAGGACCGAACCGACUUACGUUGAAAAGUGAGCGGAUGAACUGAGGGUAGCGGAGAAAUUCCAAUCGAACCUGGAGAUAGCUGGUUCUCUCCGAAAUAGCUUUAGGGCUAGCCUCAAGUGAUGAUUAUUGGAGGUAGAGCACUGUUUGGACGAGGGGCCCCUCUCGGGUUACCGAAUUCAGACAAACUCCGAAUGCCAAUUAAUUUAACUUGGGAGUCAGAACAUGGGUGAUAAGGUCCGUGUUCGAAAGGGAAACAGCCCAGACCACCAGCUAAGGUCCCAAAAUAUAUGUUAAGUGGAAAAGGAUGUGGCGUUGCCCAGACAACUAGGAUGUUGGCUUAGAAGCAGCCAUCAUUUAAAGAGUGCGUAAU